AAGGUACCCCUGGAGAUGACCACUUCCAGUUAUCUUUUCUCUGUUGCUAAACUGGAUUGCUCAGGAUACCCACACACCAAAGAAACUUUUUGAGGUUUGGGGAGAUGCAUCACUGCGGAUCCUCUCGUAUUGCAAAAAAAAAGAGAAGAGAGCCUUGGAUCUACCAGUUCAAGCAAACAUUUAAUCUGACAGCCUUGGAGAUCCCGCUUUGGAGAUGGUGCUUUAACUACUCAGCCAGCUAUCCUUUCUCCACUGCCAUACAGAUUGUGCAGCAAGAUGGUUCGGCUCUCAUACCAGGAGGCAAAACAAGAAUUUGUUGAUUUGUGACUUCUAGGUGCAUUAUU
This is a long non-coding RNA of Danio aesculapii, 344 nucleotides long. RefSeq lists it as uncharacterized. The record is from RefSeq and is a predicted model, not a curated record. The transcript has 3 exons. Lineage: Eukaryota; Metazoa; Chordata; Actinopteri; Cypriniformes; Danionidae.